UACGGGGGGGGCAAGCGUUGUUCGGAAUUACUGGGCGUAAAGGGCUCGUAGGUGGCCAACUAAGUCAGACGUGAAAUCCCUCGGCUUAACCGGGGAACUGCGUCUGAUACUGGAUGGCUUGAGUUUGGGAGAGGGACGCGGAAUUCCAGGUGUAGCGGUGAAAUGCGUAGAUAUCAGGAGGAACACCGGUGGCGAAGGCGGUUCUCUGGGAAUGACCUGACGCUGAGGAGCGAAAGUGUGGGGAGCGAACAGG
This 253-nucleotide ribosomal RNA is filed under the name uncultured bacterium. RNAcentral describes it as "partial 16S ribosomal RNA". It matches the Rfam family "Bacterial small subunit ribosomal RNA", at positions 524 to 776 of the family's 1533-position model. The record is from RNAcentral.